AGUGAACGCUGGCGGCAGGCCUAAUACAUGCAAGUCGAACGGCAGCACAGCAGAGCUUGCUCUGUGGGUGGCGAGUGGCGGACGGGUGAGGAAUACAUGGGAAUCUGCCCAGUCGUGGGGGAUAACGUAUGGAAACGUACGCUAAUACCGCAUGCGCCCUACGGGGGAAAGUCGGGGACCGCAAGGCCUGGCGCGAUUGGAUGAGCCCAUGUUCGAUUAGCUAGUUGGCGGGGUAAAGGCCCACCAAGGCGACGAUCGAUAGCUGGUCUGAGAGGAUGAUCAGCCACACUGGAACUGAGACACGGUCCAGACUCCUACGGGAGCAGCAGUAGGGAAUAUUGGACAAUGGGGGCAACCCUGAUCCAGCCAUGCCGCGUGAGUGAAGAAGGCCCUCGGGUUGUAAAGCUCUUUUGUCCGGAAGAAAGCAAUCGGUUAAUACCCGGUUGUCCUGACGGUACCGGAA
This 463-nucleotide ribosomal RNA is filed under the name uncultured bacterium. RNAcentral's name for it is "bacterial SSU rRNA". It matches the Rfam family "Bacterial small subunit ribosomal RNA", at positions 29 to 483 of the family's 1533-position model. The record is from RNAcentral.